This 479-nucleotide ribosomal RNA is filed under the name uncultured bacterium. RNAcentral describes it as "bacterial SSU rRNA". It matches the Rfam family "Bacterial small subunit ribosomal RNA", at positions 32 to 521 of the family's 1533-position model. The record is from RNAcentral.
AAUCAACGCUGGCGGCGUGCCUCAGACAUGCAAGUUGAACGAUUAAAGCUCUCUUCGGAGAGUGCAUAAAGUGGCGCACGGGUGAGUAACACGUAAGUAAUCUACCCUCGAGUGGGGAAUAACGUCCGGAAACGGACGCUAAUACCGCAUAACGCAGCGGCACCGCAAGGUGACAGUUGUUAAAGGAGAAAUCCGCUUGAGGAGGAGCUUGCGGCAGAUUAGCUUGNGGUAAGGUAACGGCUUACCAAGGCUACGAUCUGUAACCGGUCUAAGAGGACGGUCGGUCACACUGACACUGAAUACGGGUCAGACUCCUACGGGAGGCAGCAGUCGGGAAUUUUGGGCAAUGGGGGAAACCCUGACCCAGCAACGCCGCGUGAAGGAUGAAGUAUUUCGGUAUGUAAACUUCGAAAGAAUAGGAAGAAUAAAUGACGGUACUAUUUAUAAGGUCCGGCUAACUACGUGCCAGCAGCCGCCGU